RNAcentral lists this ribosomal RNA (497 nucleotides) under uncultured bacterium. RNAcentral describes it as "partial 16S ribosomal RNA". It matches the Rfam family "Bacterial small subunit ribosomal RNA", at positions 28 to 507 of the family's 1533-position model. The record is from RNAcentral.
GACGAACGCUGGCGGCGUGCCUAAUACAUGCAAGUUGAGCGAUGAAGCUUGGUGCUUGCCCCCAUUUGAAGAGCAGCGAACGGGUGAGUAACGCGUGGGGAAUCUGCCUUUGAGCGGGGGACAACAUUUGGGAACGAAUGCUAAUACCGCCUAACAACUUUAACCAUAAGUUUUAAGUUUGAAAGAUGCAAUUGCCUCACUCAAAGGUGAUCCCGCGUUGUAUUAGCUAGUUGGUUAGGUAAAGGCUCAACAAGGCGAUGAUACAUAGCCGACCUGGGAGGGAGGACGGCCACAGUGGGACUGGGACAAGGCCCAAACUCCUACGGGAGGCAACAGUAGGGGAUCUUUGGCAAUGGACGAAAGUCUGACCGAGCAAAGCCGCGUGAGUGAAGGAGGUUUUCGGAUCGUAAAACUCUGUUGGUAGAGAAGAACGAUGGUGAGAGUGGAAAGCUCAUCAAGUGACGGUAACUAACCAGAAAGGGACGGCUAACUACGUG